Molecule: ribosomal RNA, 1258 nt
Filed under: Listeria monocytogenes
Lineage: Bacteria; Bacillati; Bacillota; Bacilli; Caryophanales; Listeriaceae
Description: partial 23S ribosomal RNA
Rfam family: Bacterial large subunit ribosomal RNA
Source: RNAcentral
UUGGUUAAGUUAGAAAGGGCGCACGGUGGAUGCCUUGGCACUAGGAGCCGAAGAAGGACGGGACUAACACCGAUAUGCUUUGGGGAGCUGUACGUAAGCGUUGAUCCAGAGAUUUCCGAAUGGGGGAACCCACUAUCUUUAGUCGGAUAGUAUCCUUACGUGAAUACAUAGCGUGAGGAAGGCAGACCCAGGGAACUGAAACAUCUAAGUACCUGGAGGAAGAGAAAGAAAAAUCGAUUUCCUGAGUAGCGGCGAGCGAAACGGAAAGAGCCCAAACCAAGAAGCUUGCUUCUUGGGGUUGUAGGACACUCUAUACGGAGUUACAAAAGAAAGUUAUAAAUGAAGCGGUCUGGAAAGGCCCGCCAAAGACGGUAACAGCCCGGUAGUUGAAAUGGCUUUCCCUCCAGAGUGGAUCCUGAGUACGGCGGAACACGUGAAAUUCCGUCGGAAUCCGGGAGGACCAUCUCCCAAGGCUAAAUACUCCCUAGUGACCGAUAGUGAACCAGUACCGUGAGGGAAAGGUGAAAAGCACCCCGGAAGGGGAGUGAAACAGUUCCUGAAACCGUGUGCCUACAAGUAGUUAGAGCCCGUUAAUGGGUGAUAGCGUGCCUUUUGUAGAAUGAACCGGCGAGUUACGAUUUGUUGCAAGGUUAAGCGGAAAAAGCGGAGCCGUAGCGAAAGCGAGUCUGAAUAGGGCGCAUAAGUAACAGGUCGUAGACCCGAAACCAGGUGAUCUACCCAUGUCCAGGAUGAAGGUAAGGUAAUACUUACUGGAGGUCCGAACCCACGCACGUUGAAAAGUGCGGGGAUGAGGUGUGGGUAGCGGAGAAAUUCCAAUCGAACUUGGAGAUAGCUGGUUCUCUCCGAAAUAGCUUUAGGGCUAGCCUCGAGGUAAAGAGUCAUGGAGGUAGAGCACUGUUUGGACUAGGGGCCCUUCUCGGGUUACCGAAUUCAGAUAAACUCCGAAUGCCAUGUACUUAUACUCGGGAGUCAGACUGCGAGUGAUAAGAUCCGUAGUCGAAAGGGAAACAGCCCAGACCACCAGUUAAGGUCCCCAAAUAUAUGUUAAGUGGAAAAGGAUGUGGGGUUGCUUAGACAACCAGGAUGUUGGCUUAGAAGCAGCCACCAUUGAAAGAGUGCGUAAUAGCUCACUGGUCGAGUGACCCCGCGCCGAAAAUGUACCGGGGCUAAACAUAUUACCGAAACUGUGGAUGAACCUCUUUAGAGGUUCGUGGUAGGAGAGCGUUCUAAGGGCGGU